This is a long non-coding RNA of Passer domesticus (house sparrow), 366 nucleotides long. RefSeq lists it as uncharacterized. The transcript has 3 exons. The record is from RefSeq and is a predicted model, not a curated record. NCBI's taxonomy places the organism in Eukaryota, Metazoa, Chordata, Aves, Passeriformes, Passeridae.
CAGGUGUGCCCAUCCAGGUGUGCAGAAGGAUCCAGGUGUGCACAUCCAGGUGUGCCCAUCCAGGUGUGCAGAAGGAUCCAGGUGUGCCCAGGUGAGCCCAUCCAGGUGUGCACAAGGAUCCAGGUGAGCCCAUCCAGGUGUGCCCAUGGAUCCAGGUGUGCCCAGGUGUGCACAAGGAUCCAGGUGAGCCCAUCCAGGUGAGCCCAUCCAGGUGUGCACAAGGAUCCAGGUGAGCCCAUCCAGGUGUGCCGGCCCGGCCGUGCCGCAGCCCCCGCGCUGCCCCGGGGGUUUUUGGGGGGUCGGGGGUCCCCCGGAGGGUGGGGGAGGGGGAGACUCACAGGCUCGGGGGGGCCCCGCGGUCCGGGG